Molecule: ribosomal RNA, 468 nt
Filed under: uncultured bacterium
Lineage: Bacteria
Description: partial 16S ribosomal RNA
Rfam family: Bacterial small subunit ribosomal RNA
Source: RNAcentral
GACGAACGCUGGCGGCGUGCUUAACACAUGCAAGUCGAACGGAAAGGCCCUGCUUUUGUGGGGUGCUCGAGUGGCGAACGGGUGAGUAACACGUGAGUAACCUGCCCUUGACUUUGGGAUAACUUCAGGAAACUGGGGCUAAUACCGGAUAGGAGCUCCUGCUGCAUGGUGGGGGUUGGAAAGUUUCGGCGGUUGGGGAUGGACUCGCGGCUUAUCAGCUUGUUGGUGGGGUAGUGGCUUACCAAGGCUUUGACGGGUAGCCGGCCUGAGUGGGUGGCCGGCCACAUUGGGACUGAGAUACGGCCCAGACUCCUACGGGAGGCAGCAGUGGGGAAUAUUGCACAAUGGGCGGAAGCCUGAUGCAGCAACGCCGCGUGCGGGAUGACGGCCUUCGGGUUGUAAACCGCUUUCGCCUGUGACGAAGCGUGAGUGACGGUAAUGGGUAAAGAAGCACCGGCUAACUACGUG